Molecule: transfer RNA, 96 nt
Filed under: Saccharopolyspora thermophila
Lineage: Bacteria; Bacillati; Actinomycetota; Actinomycetes; Pseudonocardiales; Pseudonocardiaceae
Description: tRNA-Ala
Source: RNAcentral
UUCUCGCUGGUGCGGGUCUCGCCGGCGCCGCGUCGUUCGCGCUGGCGCUGGUGCUGUCCGCCGCUUUCCUCGCCACCUUCGACGCGUGGCGGGAAA